RNAcentral lists this long non-coding RNA (1240 nucleotides) under Homo sapiens (human). Its description in RNAcentral is "HSALNT0268901". Lineage: Eukaryota; Metazoa; Chordata; Mammalia; Primates; Hominidae. The record is from RNAcentral.
CAGGCUAUCUAGGUGGAGUGGGGGAAACACUCUGCUGAUAGCAGUCACCCAUGUACCUAAGUUGAAAGAAGCAGCACUUCAACAGUGACCCUCAUCACUGCAACAGAGGACCAGAAUAUGAUCACUUGGAACAAGAAAAAAAAGUGCUUUUCUUCUCAUGUGGAAAUGUUAUUGACCCACCAUUAGAGGGUGUGAAGGCCCAGUUCUUUCCCAAUGUUAAGCAAAUAUUUCUGCUGGCCUGAGCCAUGACAUUCACGCCCAUUUAGUGAAUUCCUACUCUAUCCACGUAAUGAACUAACACGUUGAGUCUAUAGUACUCAAUAUAUCCAGCCCUGGAUCCUUCUCCUGAACCUCAGCCUGUUUCUCCAACUGCCCUCUCCACAUCUCCACGUGGAUGCAUCUCAUUAACACUGCAAACUUAAUGUGUCCAAAACAGAGCCCUUAAUUUCCAGCCUCCUACCUCACAGCUCCCAAAGUCUUUUCCCAUUUCAGAAACUGCAAACUCCAUCCAUUUUACUGCCCAUGUCACAGACCUUACAUAUAGCUUUGACUUUGUGCCUUCUCUCAUGCCCCGUAUCUAAUCUUCUGAAAUAUUGUUGGUGCCACCUUCAAAAUAUAUCCAGACUCCAGUCGCUUUUUACCAUCUCCACUGACACCACCGGAAGCCACCCUGCCUUGAUUGCUUACCUGGUUUGUUUGUAGUGGUUGAAACGGGCAUUCCGUUUCUGUCACUGGCCCUUGCACUCGACUUCUGUGUAGCAUCCAAAGGAAGCCUUUUGAAAUGAAGUCACUUCUCUGCUCAAAACUCCCCAGUGCCUUCUGUUUGUCAAGCCAUGGAAAAGUCAGAGUCCUCCAGUGGCCGAUAAGGGCCUACGUGGUUUGCAUCCCAUGCCCCCAACUGCUCCUACCAUCCCGUGUCCUAUCCCUCUUCCCCUCACACACUCUGUCCCAGCUAUGGAAACCUCUUAGGGUUUAUGUGAACCUUCUGUGAACAUUCCAGCUCUGCUGCAGCUUUAAGACAUUUGUGUUUGCUGUUUCCUCUGACUUAAAUGGUUUCCCUUCAGAGAGCCACAUCUUUCCUUCUGCCCAUGGCUCUAAGUCUCUGCUCAAAUGUCACCUUGACACUGAGGCCUGCCCAGACCUGCCUACCUAUGGGGCAAACAUGUCCUGUCUCCUUCACAUUGCUCUCUCUUUCUCCGUAACGCCUGUGUAUUUACUUGUUUAUUUAUACAAUGCCCCC